CGGAUCGGAGUCUGNAACCCGACUCCGUGAAGCUGGAUUCGCUAGUAAUCGCGCAUCAGCCAUGGCGCGGUGAAUACGUUCCCGGGCCUUGUACACACCGCCCGUCAAGCCAUGGGAGCCGGGGGUGCUUGAAGUGCGUCGCCGUGAGGCGCGCCCUAGAGCAAAACCGGUGACUGGGGCUAAGUCGUAACAAGGUAUC
Molecule: ribosomal RNA, 199 nt
Filed under: uncultured bacterium
Lineage: Bacteria
Description: partial 16S ribosomal RNA
Rfam family: Bacterial small subunit ribosomal RNA
Source: RNAcentral